GCUCCAGUUUCCCUGUGUGACUGAGUCAGAAUCACAGUGAAACCCUCACCUCUCAUUCCUCCAAGCGGACCAGAAGUGGCCAUCUUGUGAUUUUCCAGCAGGGCCUCAGAAGGAACAAGUGUGCCCCCCAAUGCUCAAGUUUGUCAAGAUUCAUCACCGAGCUGCUUCACCUAAGGAUUUC
This 181-nucleotide long non-coding RNA is filed under the name Cricetulus griseus (Chinese hamster). RNAcentral's name for it is "lncRNA (ENSCGRG00000025127.1)". The record is from RNAcentral. Lineage: Eukaryota; Metazoa; Chordata; Mammalia; Rodentia; Cricetidae.